RNAcentral lists this unclassified non-coding RNA (999 nucleotides) under Hevea brasiliensis (rubber tree). The record is from RNAcentral. Lineage: Eukaryota; Viridiplantae; Streptophyta; Magnoliopsida; Malpighiales; Euphorbiaceae.
UUUUUUUUUUUUUUUAAUAUAUUUAUAUAUUUAUUAUUUUUGUUGUUAUUAGAUUCGAUGUUAAUGUUUUGAUAUUUAGAAACUGAAUCAGUUCAAAUUUACCAUUUGUCGAUUGCUAAUAAAAUAUCAUGAAAAAGAGAAGUAAAAUUUGUGAAUAAAGAGACUAGCCCCUUACAUUUAUUGUAUCGGAUGGGAAAUGAGAGGUUCGCCAGCAGGGGGGAGAGGAAGAGGUCAAUGGUUGUAUGGAGAGAACAUAAGUUGGUCCCUAUCCGGCGGUAAUGAUCGUUAAUGGCAUUGCGUGGAUACCCUUACAACUCAUAUCCCGUAUAAUUUCAAAUAUCUAGGGUUCUAUUCUCUUGGUCUUAAUUUAUCACACAACGUUUUGAGCGAUGAAUUUAUCACGCAUCACGCAUUUAAGCAUGGAUCCACAAAGCCUUGGCAACCAUCCACAACUGAAACCACCAAUAGUAUUAGCUGGAACAGCAAAGGAAGGUGGUGCUGGACCACCUAUUGGUCUAAUUGACAUAGGUGUUAGUGAAGCAGCGUACCUUUUCCGGGUUGCACUGCCUGGCAUCCGGAAGAAUGAAUGUGGGGUAAAAUGCGAGAUCCAACGUGAUGGGACUAUUCAUGUACGAGGAGUAGUAACGCCUGAUGCUGGAUUUUUGAGAGACUCAUUGAAUGUGUUCCAGUUGAGAGUCCAACAACUGAGCCCACCUGGACCAUUUACUAUUUCCUUCAAAUUGCCUGGACCUGUUGACCCUCGACUCUUCUGUCCUAAUUUCCGGGGUGAUGGUAUCCUGGAAGGGAUGGUUAUGAAAGAGAGAGUACCAGUUAUUCAUGUGGAUGGUUGAAUCCUGCCUUCAUGAGUUUUUCUUCAGGAGCUUAAUUGCAUAUAAUCCUAAAUGCAUGUAAAUAUACAAAGACAUGCGGUAGAACACAGGUGAAGUUUAUGCUGAAGUAAGGGCAUACUGCGGACUGCCUUGUUGAUGCAUCUUUUCC